Molecule: long non-coding RNA, 409 nt
Organism: Diceros bicornis minor
Lineage: Eukaryota; Metazoa; Chordata; Mammalia; Perissodactyla; Rhinocerotidae
Exons: 5
Source: RefSeq, a predicted model, not a curated record
CAGCCACGUUCAACUCCACUGAGAGGGUCCUGCAGAGCCUGCUGGAUCCUUGUUCAAGAAGAGCAGCCUGGGCCCCUUCUCCUUGAGUGGCAGACUGGUCUCCCUCAGUGGCUCCAGGCUCUGCACCCUGGAGUUUAUGCAUGCAGAGAGAGCACCAGCUACAUUUCCGCAGGAUCAGCUGGAACCUCAGCAACCUGGAGCCCACAUCCUCGGAGUACACCGCCCUGCAGAGAGACACCCAGGACCAGGUCACCAAGCUCUACAGAGGCAGCCAGCUGUGAGACAUAUUCCACUCCUGCCUGGUCACCGACUUGAUAAUAUUCUCCCAACAGAGAUGACACCUUUAUUGUGAAACCUGGUAAGCCUGCAGGAAGCCCCAGCCCAGGGUAGGAGGCGAGUAUCUUGAUGU